AGAAUCAACGCUGGCGGCGUGCCUAACACAUGCAAGUCGAACGAGAAAGUGGAGCAAUCCAUGAGUAAAGUGGCGCACGGGUGAGUAACACGUGACUAACCUACCUUUUAGUGGGGGAUAACCUAGGGAAACCUGGGCUAAUACCGCAUAAUACUUACGAGUCAAAGCAGCAAUGCGCUGAAAGAGGGGGUCGCGGCCGAUUAGCUAGUUGGCGGGGUAAUGGCCCACCAAGGCAGUGAUCGGUA
Molecule: ribosomal RNA, 245 nt
Filed under: uncultured bacterium
Lineage: Bacteria
Description: partial small subunit ribosomal RNA
Rfam family: Bacterial small subunit ribosomal RNA
Source: RNAcentral